UAUCCUUGGGGAAGGGUGAAAGUCCCUAUCGGUGGUUAUAGUCCACGAGCUUUUAGCAUGAUUUGGUGAAAUUCCAAAACCGACAGUUACAGUCUGGAUGAGAAAGGAU
Molecule: non-coding RNA, 109 nt
Filed under: chicken gut metagenome
Description: FMN riboswitch (RFN element)
Rfam family: FMN riboswitch aptamer (RFN element)
About the family: The RFN element is a highly conserved domain that is found frequently in the 5'-untranslated regions of prokaryotic mRNAs that encode for flavin mononucleotide (FMN) biosynthesis and transport proteins.
Source: RNAcentral